RNAcentral lists this transfer RNA (73 nucleotides) under Patescibacteria group bacterium. Its description in RNAcentral is "tRNA-Lys". It matches the Rfam family "tRNA". From Rfam's summary of the family: Transfer RNA (tRNA) molecules are approximately 80 nucleotides in length. The record is from RNAcentral.
GCCCCGCUAGCUCAAUUGGCAGAGCAAAUCCCUCUUAAGGAUAAGGUUGUAGGUUCAAAUCCUACGCGGGGCA